Molecule: ribosomal RNA, 87 nt
Filed under: Phascolarctos cinereus (koala)
Lineage: Eukaryota; Metazoa; Chordata; Mammalia; Diprotodontia; Phascolarctidae
Source: RNAcentral
AUCCUUUGUCAUUCAAAAAUUAAGCAAAGUUGGGCCUGGGCAUUACUUGAAUGGGAAACUGCCUGAGCAUGCUGGAUGCUAUGGAUU